RNAcentral lists this ribosomal RNA (435 nucleotides) under uncultured bacterium. Its description in RNAcentral is "bacterial SSU rRNA". It matches the Rfam family "Bacterial small subunit ribosomal RNA", at positions 28 to 490 of the family's 1533-position model. The record is from RNAcentral.
GAUGAACGCUGGCGGCGUGCCUAACACAUGCAAGUCGAGCGAUUCUCUUCGGAGAAGAGCGGCGGACGGGUGAGUAACGCGUGGGUAACCUGCCCUGUACACACGGAUAACAUACCGAAAGGUAUGCUAAUACGAGAUAAUAUGCUUUUAUCGCAUGGUAGAAGUAUCAAAGCUUUUGCGGUACAGGAUGGACCCGCGUCUGAUCAGCUAGUUGGUAAGGUAACGGCUUACCAAGGCGACGAUCAGUAGCCGACCUGAGAGGGUGAUCGGCCACAUUGGAACUGAGACACGGUCCAAACUCCUACGGGAGGCAGCAGUGGGGAAUAUUGCACAAUGGGCGAAAGCCUGAUGCAGCAACGCCGCGUGAGCGAUGAAGGCCUUCGGGUCGUAAAGCUCUGUCCUCAAGGAAGAUAAUGACGGUACUUGAGGAGGAAG